This is a long non-coding RNA of Chenopodium quinoa (quinoa), 1484 nucleotides long. RefSeq lists it as uncharacterized. The record is from RefSeq and is a predicted model, not a curated record. The transcript is spliced from 3 exons. NCBI's taxonomy places the organism in Eukaryota, Viridiplantae, Streptophyta, Magnoliopsida, Caryophyllales, Amaranthaceae.
UCGCGUGGCAACAGAAAUAUCGUGAUGCGUCAGGUCGUAUCGCACCACGAUAGUUCUGUCGCACCGCGCUGGAAUCAGAUUUUCGAUUUUUUAACCUUUCUUAUUCCUCUUUUUCAAUUCCAGUUCCAUUUUUUCGUUCUGUUCCAGCUCGCAUUUUGCCACUUCACAUCACUUGUUUUCGCACCAAAUUGCUUCAAACUUGUUGCUAAUCUUCACAUUUUCAAUUCCUUACACCGAUCCAUCGAGGUGGAACACCUGGAUGUCCUGCUGGAGUACGGAUGGUUUUCAGAAAUUUUUGUUUCAGCAAGCUUCUCGGCCAUGCGCUCGGCCACGGCAUGACGGCUUGAGGGAAGCAAGACGCCGUCUGACAUCUUCCGAGGUUUUUGAUCAGCCGAAGACCACUAGCCAGGCUACGGGCGUUGGUGAGAUCAGCUCGGGCCGUGAGUCCAUCCCGAUCGAUGUGUAUAAGCUUGGACUCAGUCCUUCAGUGGUUCACCCGCACGUCGUUCCUGAUCCGUUUGGGGAUGGUACGUCAUCUUAGCCUUUCAGGCCUCCACCUCAGUUUGCUGGUGGGACAUUUGAGGUUGGCUCUUCCUCUCAGCAGCUUGUACCUCCUCCUCCGUUCGCUUGCGAGAUCUUCUAUUAGUAUGGCGUUCGGGUUGGCCCAUAGUUCACUCAGUAAAGCGGUCCUAUGCUCGUGAUCCCUAUGAUGGGUGGUGCUAACUCCAACAAGGAGAUGACUCCCCGGACUGCAGAUUUUGAGGGAUAGAUGGGCAUAUCUCGGGAGCCUCGUCCGCUAGAGUCCUAGUUAUACUUGCAUCUUUUCUUUUUUACUAUAGGACUUUACUUAUGUUUGUUAUUUUAUUGACUCUUAUGUAUUUAUAUAUUCAGGCUCUUAUGUACAUAUUCAUUGACUCUAUCGACUCUCUAUUUAUUAGAUUUAUAAAUUUUAAAAUUUGCUUUAUGUGUGUAUGAGUGUGUGUUGUGAGUUUGUCUUGUGCAAGUAUGUGAUUUUGUGACAAAUUUUGCAAAAAAAUUCUGUCACUUUUAUUAUAAUUGGAGGGUAUCCGAAUUUCUCCACAAAAAAAGAAAAAUGAAAAAAGAAAAUUAAAGAAAAAUAAAUGAGUGUAAUAAUUAAUUUGAGAUUCCUAAAAAGAAUUCCAAAUCACUGAAGGAUAAGGAGUUUGAAUUAUCGUAGGAGAUGAUGAGAAUUUGAGAUAAGAUGGAAAACGGUAAGAGAGUUAAUUUAGAUGAAAUUGAAAUAGUACGAGUUCUAUUAGAAAUCAAAUUAAGAGUGUGGCGUAGCAAAGUUGUCGCUGAUCAUCAGGUUCCAUCACGGCGCGAUAGUGCUAUCGCGACGCGUGGUCUCUGUCGCGGUGUGCUGGUUCUUAAAAGUCAAGCUCCGACUGGAAGUUGGCUUCUAUGUCGUUUUUUUUAAUAUUAUAAAUAGCCCCGGAAUUCGUCAGAUUCAGCAUAAUUCGGCA